GUCAUCAUGGCCCUUACGUGUAGGGCUACACACGUGCUACAAUGGCGCAUACAGAGUGCUGCGAACUCGCGAGAGUAAGCGAAUCACUUAAAGUGCGUCGUAGUCCGGAUUGGAGUCUGCAACUCGACUCCAUGAAGUCGGAAUCGCUAGUAAUCGCGUAUCAGAAUGACGCGGUGAAUACGUUCCCGGGCCUUGUACACACCGCCCGUCACACCAUGGGAGUGGGUUGCUCCAGAAGUAGAUAGUCUAACCCUCGGGAGGACGUUUACCACGGAGUGAUUCAUGACUGGGGUGAAGUCGUAACAAGGUAGCCCUAGGGGAACCUGGGGCUGGAUCACCUCCUUAUACGA
This is a ribosomal RNA of 350 nucleotides. It matches the Rfam family "Bacterial small subunit ribosomal RNA", at positions 1189 to 1533 of the family's 1533-position model.